AUUGAACGCUGGCGGCAGGCCUAACACAUGCAAGUCGAGCGAGCGGCGGACGGGUGAGUAAUGUCUGGGAAACUGCCUGAUGGAGGGGGAUAACUACUGGAAACGGUAGCUAAUACCGCAUACCAUCAGAUGUGCCCAGAUGGGAUUAGCUAGUAGGUGGGGUAACGGCUCACCUAGGAGACGAUCCCUAGCUGGUCUGCGAGGAUGACCAGCCACACUGGAACUGCGGCACGGUCCAGAAUCCGACGGGAGGCAGGAGGGGGGAACACUGUGCAAUGGGCGCAAGCCGGAUGCAGCCAAGUAGCGUGCAGGAGGACGGCCUAUGGGUUGUAAACUGCUUUUAAUGGGGAUAAGGUACCAAAUGAAUAAGGACCGGCUAAUUCCGUGCCAGCAGCCGCGGUAAUAC
This 406-nucleotide ribosomal RNA is filed under the name uncultured bacterium. RNAcentral describes it as "partial 16S ribosomal RNA". It matches the Rfam family "Bacterial small subunit ribosomal RNA", at positions 29 to 526 of the family's 1533-position model. The record is from RNAcentral.